UUUUAUGAGAGUUUGAUCCUGGCUCAGGACGAACGCUGGCGGCGUGCCUAAUACAUGCAAGUCGAACGCUUCUUUUUCCACCGGAGCUUGCUCCACCGGAAAAAGAGGAGUGGCGAACGGGUGAGUAACACGUGGGUAACCUGCCCAUCAGAAGGGGAUAACACUUGGAAACAGGUGCUAAUACCGUAUAACAAUCAAAACCGCAUGGUUUUGAUUUGAAAGGCGCUUUCGGGUGUCGCUGAUGGAUGGACCCGCGGUGCAUUAGCUAGUUGGUGAGGUAACGGCUCACCAAGGCCACGAUGCAUAGCCGACCUGAGAGGGUGAUCGGCCACAUUGGGACUGAGACACGGCCCAAACUCCUACGGGAGGCAGCAGUAGGGAAUCUUCGGCAAUGGACGAAAGUCUGACCGAGCAACGCCGCGUGAGUGAAGAAGGUUUUCGGAUCGUAAAACUCUGUUGUUAGAGAAGAACAAGGAUGAGAGUAACUGUUCAUCCCUUGACGGUAUCUAACCAGAAAGCCACGGCUAACUACGUGCCAGCAGCCGCGGUAAUACGUAGGUGGCAAGCGUUGUCCGGAUUUAUUGGGCGUAAAGCGAGCGCAGGCGGUUUCUUAAGUCUGAUGUGAAAGCCCCCGGCUCAACCGGGGAGGGUCAUUGGAAACUGGGAGACUUGAGUGCAGAAGAGGAGAGUGGAAUUCCAUGUGUAGCGGUGAAAUGCGUAGAUAUAUGGAGGAACACCAGUGGCGAAGGCG
This 751-nucleotide ribosomal RNA is filed under the name Enterococcus faecium. RNAcentral describes it as "bacterial SSU rRNA". It matches the Rfam family "Bacterial small subunit ribosomal RNA", at positions 1 to 723 of the family's 1533-position model. Lineage: Bacteria; Bacillati; Bacillota; Bacilli; Lactobacillales; Enterococcaceae. The record is from RNAcentral.